Molecule: long non-coding RNA, 501 nt
Filed under: Elaeis guineensis (African oil palm)
Lineage: Eukaryota; Viridiplantae; Streptophyta; Magnoliopsida; Arecales; Arecaceae
Description: long non-coding RNA (EGUI_LNC049165)
Source: RNAcentral
AAGGAUUUGGACAGUAUGGCUCUCUAGUAGAGGUGGUAGUAGUACUGGGUGUUUUAUAGUUCCAAGAUUGGCUUAUCUAAUUCUUCUUUUUAGAAAACUGAUCUUUUGGAGAUUGGAUUCCAAAAUAUGCUUCCCUAUAAAAAUGUGACAGAAUCAGUUCAUAAUAUUCAGCUGCAACUAAAAAGAUAUUUCUUGUAGAUAUAAGUGAUUAAUUAGAAACCUUAUAGCCUUUUCAAAGUCUUUCUUCUGAUUGAAUAUAUGAGUUCGCCAUAUUUCAUUAAAUAGUAAAUAUUUUUCUAAAAAAAGUUAUGGAAUAAGACAAGAUGGAUAAUUUUGCUUUGUACCCUAAUUUUUAUUAAAUUUUAUAUUUUUAUCAAAGAAAUAUGGGUACAAGUGUUUUAGUUGAAUUGAAGAUUCAUAGUCCAGACUUUUUCCUGGCCAGUCUCCUUUUGUUAUUCUAUUAAAGCAUUUUGUUCUUAAUAUUUUAUUAUCAUCAAUAAC